Molecule: ribosomal RNA, 253 nt
Filed under: uncultured bacterium
Lineage: Bacteria
Description: partial 16S ribosomal RNA
Rfam family: Bacterial small subunit ribosomal RNA
Source: RNAcentral
UACGUAGGGGGCAAGCGUUGUCCGGAUUUAUUGGGCGUAAAGAGCGUGUAGGCGGCCAGACAGGUCCGUUGUGAAAACUCGAGGCUCAACCUCGAGACGCCGAUGGAAACCGUCUGGCUAGAGUCCGGAAGAGGAGAGUGGAAUUCCUGGUGUAGCGGUGAAAUGCGCAGAUAUCAGGAAGAACACCCGUGGCGAAAGCGGCUCUCUGGGACGGUACUGACGCUGAGACGCGAAAGCGUGGGGAGCAAACAGG